CAGACAAUAUGCAAGCUUUCCAAUGCGCUUGUUUACAAAAAUGGCAAUGUAAGAAACGUUUUUAUGCUGGCUACAGAGAUCGAACUAAGCACCACUCUUUACGGUAAGCUGUCGACGCAAUAAUGUGAUCGCAAAUAUCUAUUGAAACGAUAGUCAAAAUAAUACACUACUUUUGUCUUCUACGUUUGUGGAUCCCAGCCAUGGAGUUAACAAGUUAAAGUACUAACUCUAUGGUACCAGCAUAGAGAUGGCACAGUCAAACUACUGAAUACCGCCCAGAACUUUUCUUUCAAAAAGUAAAUUUCAUACAGCUGUGGAGAAAACAGGGAGGUGUGUUAGAUAUAUUAUGGGUGGUAAAUGGAGUGGAGCAAAAAGUAACGUGAAAACUUACUAUGGACGAGCAAUGCUAAAAAGAAUAAAACGAUACCAACUCAAACAAUCCUUUAGAACCCUACGUGGACAAGUAGUUCAGUUCAAAUACCUGUAAACGGUAACAUGCCUAUUAUCGGUAAAUUGUUCCAUGUCAUAUUUAAUAAGGGAGUCACUUUUCGGUAAUUUUUUUCAAACUUCAAGAAAUGUGUAUCAUCAUAAUGAGGAAUAACAGAGAUCGAAUUCAAAACUUAAAUUCUUAUACAAGUAGAUACGGUUUAUUACUAAUACCUCGUUAUAUUUUUAUUUCUAAUAGUGUAUUAGGGAUAAAUAAAUGGAUGUAACUUAAACUUAAACUGUCUCAAUGUAAAGGCGGAUUAAUUAAUAUAAGGAGAGCAUUUCGAUUACGUAUAAUAUGAUGAAUCUCUACUUAGUCCUCUCUGUUUAUUUAUACUGUAGUUGUUCUCGACCCAAUUAAAAACAAUGUUAAAACUAUGUAUUUAGAUGGUAUGCAUGAAGUAAUUUGAUAUCACACACUUAAUACAAAGAAUAUAAUUUAUUUGUAUAAGAUUCAAAAAAAUGAAGUCAAUAAAUAGCUUAUAUUCCACAA
Bombyx mori (domestic silkworm) is the source of this 979-nucleotide long non-coding RNA. RefSeq lists it as uncharacterized. The record is from RefSeq and is a predicted model, not a curated record. The transcript has 2 exons. NCBI's taxonomy places the organism in Eukaryota, Metazoa, Arthropoda, Insecta, Lepidoptera, Bombycidae.